UCCGGUUUGUCACCGGCGGUCCCCUUAGAGUGCUCAACUGAAUGGGGGCAACUAAGGGCAAGGGUUGCGCUCGUUGCGGGACUUAACCCAACAUCUCACGACACGAGCUGACGACAGCCAUGCAGCACCUGUGUCUAGGUUCCCUUGCGGGCACACCCGCAUCUCUGCAGGCUUCCUAGCAUGUCAAGACCAGGUAAGGUGGGGAUGACGUGAGGAUAG
RNAcentral lists this unclassified non-coding RNA (219 nucleotides) under uncultured Salinisphaerales bacterium. RNAcentral describes it as "contains 16S-23S intergenic spacer region". The record is from RNAcentral. Lineage: Bacteria; Pseudomonadati; Pseudomonadota; Gammaproteobacteria; Salinisphaerales.